UACGUAGGCAGCAAGCGUUGUUCGGAAUUACUGGGCGUAAAGAGUGUGUAGGCGGUGUUCCAAGUCUGGUGUGAAAUCUCCCGGCUUAACUGGGAGGGUGCAUUAGAAACUGGAAUGCUAGAGGAUGGGAGAGGUAAGCGGAAUUCCUGGUGUAGCGGUGAAAUGCGUAGAGAUCAGGAGGAACACCGGUGGUGUAGACAGCUUACUGGGCCAUUGCUGACGCUGAGACGCGAAAGCGUGGGGAGCAAACAGG
RNAcentral lists this ribosomal RNA (253 nucleotides) under uncultured bacterium. Its description in RNAcentral is "partial 16S ribosomal RNA". It matches the Rfam family "Bacterial small subunit ribosomal RNA", at positions 524 to 776 of the family's 1533-position model. The record is from RNAcentral.